Nicotiana attenuata is the source of this 1312-nucleotide long non-coding RNA. RefSeq lists it as uncharacterized. NCBI's taxonomy places the organism in Eukaryota, Viridiplantae, Streptophyta, Magnoliopsida, Solanales, Solanaceae. The transcript is spliced from 3 exons. The record is from RefSeq and is a predicted model, not a curated record.
AGAGCAAGGGUACCUCAUGAUACGUGCAGAAGAAGUAACAUCCAAUUCACUUUUUCUAGAGAUGGAUGAGUCAUAUGGUACCAUCAGCCAAUACACUUCCUCUCCAUCCAAAGCAUAUAUAAUUCAUAGGAGGAAUAAGUUUAGGGCUUCGAAAAUAAUGCAAAGUACUUUGGACCUGUAUGACAGUGGAGGCCUGUCGAAAGAACAUGCUUUUGGUAGGACAUAAAGUGAAAAUUAUGAUUACUGGAGAGGUUUCAGAUUUGGAGAUCUCGGGUUUUUUCUAGCAAUUGGAUUUUGAUGGGUAUGUUGUAGCCAAGCGAGGAACAAUAGAGACUAGCUCAUGGACGUUUGUGCUGCUAGGUAUAUUCUAGACAAGAAGUACAACCAAGCCACUACAGCUGCUGGCUCAGGUAUCUCUUUGAUUGGUUAUCCACAUUCUACUAAAAGCAAGCUCCUCUGUUUCUUCUUGCAUCACAAUAGACGUGCGUUGGUUAAUGUUGCAUGAGAGGAAGUUUCUCUGUGUUGUCUAAUGGCAUCAUGUGACUCGUUUUGUCCAUUUUAAAAAAAUUGUAAAUUGGAUGUCACUUCUUACGCAGGUGUGAUAAGGUUGCCUUGCUCUUGCAUUCUCUUAGAUAAUUUGAUUCAGCUUGCUACCUAAAUUAAAUUUUUUGGUAGAGAGAAUUCGAGAGCAAGGGUACCUCAUGAUACGUGCAGAAGAAGUAACAUCCAAUUCACUUUUUCUAGAGAUGGAUGAGUCAUAUGGUACCAUCAGCCAAUACACUUCCUCUCCAUCCAAAGCAUAUAUAAUUCAUAGGAGGAAUAGAUUCAGGGCUUCGAAUAUGAUGCAAAGUACUUUGGAUCUGUAUGACAGAGGAGGCCUGUAGGAAGAACAUGCUUUUGGUAGGACAUAAAGUGAAAUUAUGAUUAUUGGAGAGGUUUCAAAUUUGGAGAUCUCGGGUUUUUUCUUGCAAUUGGAUUUUGACGGGUAUGUUGUAGCCAAGCCAGGAACAAUAGAGUCUAGCUCAUGGACGUUUGUGCUGCUUGGUAUAUUCAAGACAAGAAGUACAUGCAAGCCACUACAGCUGCCGGCUCAGGGGAGGCCUGUCGGAACAACAUGCUUUUGGUAGGACAUAAAGUGAAAAUUAUGAUUACUGGAGAGGUUUUAGAUUUGGAGAUCUCGGGUUUUUUCUUGCAAUUGGAUUUUGACGGGUAUGUUGUAGCCAAGCCAGGAACAAUAGAGACUAGCUCAUGGACGUUUGUGCUGCUAGGUAUAUUCAAGACAAGAAGUACAUGCAAGCUAAUACAGCUGCUG